RNAcentral lists this long non-coding RNA (209 nucleotides) under Capsicum annuum. RNAcentral describes it as "long non-coding RNA (CANN_LNC009184)". Lineage: Eukaryota; Viridiplantae; Streptophyta; Magnoliopsida; Solanales; Solanaceae. The record is from RNAcentral.
UCCCGUUUUAUUUUUUUUGAAUAUCCUCCUUCCUUGGAUUAGUACUGGGACGCAUAUAUCAAAAGCUCAGUGUGAAAUUUGAAUGAGAUAUAUCUUUCUUUUUUCAAAUUCAAAAUGUUCAUAAUUGAGGUUACACAAAAUCGGAGCCAGAAAAGGAAAAAGUGGAAUCUGGAAAAGUAUUCUCUAAGGGUAAUGUAAUUGAGUGAAAU